CAAACGGCUCUUUUAAGAGCCCCCACGUUCUCGUAAAAAAAGCUGU
Non-coding RNA from Phaethon lepturus (White-tailed tropicbird), 46 nucleotides. The record is from Rfam. Lineage: Eukaryota; Metazoa; Chordata; Aves; Phaethontiformes; Phaethontidae.